Molecule: non-coding RNA, 100 nt
Organism: Acanthosepion pharaonis
Lineage: Eukaryota; Metazoa; Mollusca; Cephalopoda; Sepiida; Sepiidae
Source: the annotation of a GenBank genome assembly
CGUUGAAACACCGGUUUUCAUACGAUCACCGAAAGUUAAACAACGUUGAACCUGGUCAGUACCUAGAUGGGUGACCACCUGGGAAUACCAGCUAUUGUAC